This 74-nucleotide transfer RNA is filed under the name Puccinia triticina 1-1 BBBD Race 1. RNAcentral's name for it is "tRNA-Cys (ACA) (tRNA-Cys-ACA-1-1)". It matches the Rfam family "tRNA". Rfam says of the family: Transfer RNA (tRNA) molecules are approximately 80 nucleotides in length. Their secondary structure includes four short double-helical elements and three loops (D, anti-codon, and T loops). Further hydrogen bonds mediate the characteristic L-shaped molecular structure. tRNAs have two regions of fundamental functional importance: the anti-codon, which is responsible for specific mRNA codon recognition, and the 3' end, to which the tRNAs corresponding amino acid is attached (by aminoacyl-tRNA synthetases). tRNAs cope with the degeneracy of the genetic code in two manners: having more than one tRNA (with a specific anti-codon) for a particular amino acid; and 'wobble' base-pairing, i.e. permitting non-standard base-pairing at the 3rd anti-codon position. Lineage: Eukaryota; Fungi; Basidiomycota; Pucciniomycetes; Pucciniales; Pucciniaceae. The record is from RNAcentral.
GUGUGUUUAGCUCAGUAGUAUAAGAGCAGCUCUCACAAUGUAGAAGUUCAUGGGUUCAAAUCCCACAACACACA